Molecule: long non-coding RNA, 888 nt
Organism: Silurus meridionalis
Lineage: Eukaryota; Metazoa; Chordata; Actinopteri; Siluriformes; Siluridae
Exons: 2
Source: RefSeq, a predicted model, not a curated record
CGCAGGGCCAUGAUGCUGCUGCUGACGUCCACACAGAACUGCACAAGCCAUGAGUUCUACUAGACUCCUCUGGGUGAGGAACAACCCUGAAAAGCAAGAACCCACUGACUUUGGGCCUGAUGUACAUUCAUCUGUGGAGCAUCACUGGUGGAACUGAGCAGGUCUGAUUCAGAGAACUCUCACCAUGUGCCCACCGAGAGAGCAGGAAGGAGAUGAGACAGGAACUAGCAUCAGAUGUGAAGCAAAAUAUAACCAUGGCUAUUUCUGAGCAUGCUGCGCUGAGAACUUUGAUCAUAAACAGUAGACACAUAAGAUCCACAGUUCAGUGAAUGAAAGCAGGCGUGUGUGUGACACUUCAGUGCUUGUAGUGGACAUUUAUAGACCACCAAAGUGAGAAAUAUAAUGAAAGUUCUACACCACAGUGAAGCUGAAUCAGUCGUUAGAUAUUAAUUGGUGUAAGUGACAGUAGUGAAGCUGCUAAUCAGGUUUAUAUUAAUGCACUGACUCGGUUCCUCGAAAGCCUGAUGUGGUGAAGUGUUCUGUAAAGUUUGGAAGGAGUCUCCAGCGUCAGUGCUCUGUAACGGUCACAUCUUCAGGGGUUUCCACUGUGUGCUUCUGUCUUAUUUAUUUAACUGUAGAAUGAACAUCUCUCAGUCAGGAGAACGUGCGAGUCGUACAUGAAGGAUCUUUCGGGGAACUCUUUCGCUUUGUGGUGAAACAACACCGCCAUCAUGUGCAGCUGAAGGAGAAACGCAGCUCACACAACAAGAAAUACAAAAGAAACCCAAGUGACGGCUUAUAAAAUUGCACAGAUGUAUUUGUGGUGUAUGAGACGGAGAAAAACAAAAACAGGACACACCCACAAAAAAUAAAGAAAUAUGGAUUCAA